CCGACGUGAUUUAUAGGAUCAUUGCUAAAAUAUCUUGUAAGUGGCAAACGGGAGCUGACUUUACGUGCAGUGAAAUCCCAUUCCACCAUGUCGGAAAUAAAUCUUGUCCCCUGGCUGCUUAAGUCGGGUGAGGACUUGAACAAAGUAUAUUCCAUAACUUCUCAUAGUCUCUUUGACUAUUACUGGGGAGUGAGACCAUACUCGGUACAGUU
Molecule: non-coding RNA, 212 nt
Organism: Octopus bimaculoides (California two-spot octopus)
Lineage: Eukaryota; Metazoa; Mollusca; Cephalopoda; Octopoda; Octopodidae
Source: Rfam